UAGGAAAACAUUUUUAAAGAUAUGAUGUUUAAUCAUGUCUGAGCCCAAGGAAUGUGAAGCCCCUGUGAGGAAUUCUACUCCAAGAGGAUAGAAAUAAGAAAUGGGUGGCUUCUCCUGUCAAGCUUUCCAAGAUGAUGUCAACGGGAAAACCAAGUACUGAAUAACCUGAACAAACAUUUAGAGAAAGACUACAUCAUGCAGAUAGUAGGUAUAAAGAAGAUUUUUUCAUCUGGGAAUUAUAUGCUUUUAUCUGUAUCAGUCAGGACACCUGCAGGAAACAGAUGACACAUUUAAAUUGGACUAACUUGAGGAGGGACUCUUUACAAAGUUGAAGGCAAGUUUUCGUUUUUUUAAAUGGUUAGGGAACUCCUUUUCUAGUUAUAAUUUGCUAU
Molecule: long non-coding RNA, 392 nt
Filed under: Pan paniscus (pygmy chimpanzee)
Lineage: Eukaryota; Metazoa; Chordata; Mammalia; Primates; Hominidae
Description: lncRNA (ENSPPAG00000044234.1)
Source: RNAcentral